RNAcentral lists this long non-coding RNA (508 nucleotides) under Chinchilla lanigera (long-tailed chinchilla). Its description in RNAcentral is "lncRNA (ENSCLAG00000024426.1)". Lineage: Eukaryota; Metazoa; Chordata; Mammalia; Rodentia; Chinchillidae. The record is from RNAcentral.
CUGAUUAUAAUAAUGGGAAGCACAUUGCACGUUCUGCUGCAGGGACAGGUAAAAGGAGCAUCUAACUCUCAAAAUGAAGUCAAGAAAAAAUGUCUCCAGAGCCACACUUCUGCACCAAGUCUCUCUGGAUCGUCCAGGACAUUCUCCAAGACUAUUCUCCAGGACUGGGGAGCUUCAAUCCUCACCGUCAUUUUGGCCAUCAUCUACUGGCUCUCAGUGCAGGAAGUGUGGCAUGUUCAAAAAUGAGACAGAGGUCCUCUAACACAGAUCCUUCUGGCAUAGACACUUCAGCUUCCGACACUGGCCCAUACAUCGCAGGUCCUUCAAACUGCCAUCACGGGUCCUUUGGCCUCCUGAUGUGGACUUGCAUGGGACCUUGCCAUGGGCUCCAAGCCCUCGACUGGAUCCUUUGGGUCUCCAGCAUGCACACAGACAUUGUGUACUCUUCUGCAUCUGACUCUAGUAAGCAUUGAUAACUUCCCCCUAUAUAGUAUAGUUGAUAUAAUAU